This 116-nucleotide ribosomal RNA is filed under the name Pseudomonas sp. Lineage: Bacteria; Pseudomonadati; Pseudomonadota; Gammaproteobacteria; Pseudomonadales; Pseudomonadaceae. The record is from RNAcentral. RNAcentral also lists the same sequence under 24 other names.
CUUGACGACCAUAGAGCGUUGGAACCACCUGAUCCCAUCCCGAACUCAGUAGUGAAACGAUGCAUCGCCGAUGGUAGUGUGGAGUUUCUCCAUGUGAGAGUAGGUCAUCGUCAAGC